Epinephelus moara (kelp grouper) is the source of this 474-nucleotide long non-coding RNA. RefSeq lists it as uncharacterized. NCBI's taxonomy places the organism in Eukaryota, Metazoa, Chordata, Actinopteri, Perciformes, Serranidae. The transcript is spliced from 3 exons. The record is from RefSeq and is a predicted model, not a curated record.
AAACAGCAGAGAUCACUGUGGAGAGAAGAGAGCAGCAGAAAAAGAUGAUAAAGAGUGUGAAGUCUGUGGUGUUGUGGGGAGAGACUGACAUCAGAUCAGGAUGUUUGGUCUCAUCUGGACAACUCUGCUUUUCUCUGUGAGAGGCAACAAUGCUGACACAGGAAGGUCCUGUGCAGCAGUGUGGACCUCACAGUGCAGUACUUCCCUGGGCUGUUGCUGGUGUAUCUCAAAGUGUGAACGUCCUCUACACUAUCUUCAUGAUAUUCCUUUGGUAUGUUACUACUUCUGCUUCUGCUUUCUCUCUCUCCAAAGGAAAGCAAGAACAAAGGUGACACCAAAUCAAGAGGACAGAACUUACAUGUCUCUGCAGAAAACAGACAGAUCACCAGAGUAUGAUGUUAUUGGCCAAACUCAGGACUCUAGACGUGUUGAAGCUCCUUUGCCAUCAUUCAGUUUGUAUGGAUGUAUGGAUGC